RNAcentral lists this long non-coding RNA (2249 nucleotides) under Malus domestica (apple). RNAcentral describes it as "long non-coding RNA (MDOM_LNC007597)". The record is from RNAcentral. Lineage: Eukaryota; Viridiplantae; Streptophyta; Magnoliopsida; Rosales; Rosaceae.
AAGAGUAGAGAGAACGAGCGAAAUAUAAGAGAUACAAAGAAAAAAUUCGAAAAGAAAGAAGAGAGAGACGGGAAAAACAAAACCGGGCUUGCUAUGUUUGGCAAGCCUGAUGGCCUUUGGUCAGCCCGAUGUUGAUUAGGAUUUAGCCAGUUUGUUAUAGACGGUUUUUUUAGCUUUCUCUGCCUAUUUUUUAGAUUUGAACUUUUAGUCUUCUCCACUAGAGAUGGCCUUACAGGUGAGGAACCGUUGAUGUGGGACUCUAGAAACGUCAUUGUAGCUAGUAUUGCCACCUGUCCCUGAGCAAGUGGGCUUCAAGUUGGAGGAAUGGAGAGCUGAUUUGUUUGAGGUUGGUUCGUGUGCUUUGCAAGAGUGCCUCAGUAAGAAUCUUUCAAAGGAUUACCGAGGUUUCCUAGUUGACAAGUAAUCGGUGGUUUCAGAGUCUAUAUAAGUUGCUGGUACAAACAAGUUAUAUUUAUCAUUUUUGAAAACUAUAAAUCAUUUUCAAAUUGAAUACCAAAAAACCCUAAAUUCUAUUAAAAUUAAACUCAAUUGGUAAAAAUGUUCUUUAAGAUUGAAAUAACUCAUCACUUUGGUUUCUGCUAAUGAAAAUCGAUUGAAAUGGUCUCUGAGUUUGUCAACUGUAAAUCAUUUUGGUCAAUAAGUGAAAAAUCCGUCAAUCUCUUUGUUACAUUAUCACGUGAACGACCACGUAAUCAUCUUUUUAAGUAUUUUUGUCACUUAUCCAAAGUGUAGGCAUGCAAGCUGGUUGGAUGUCACGUAGGGCUGGGCACGGGCCAGGCUGGGCCAAAUUUUAAAGGAACCGGAGCUUAAACGAAACAGGCGGGGCCUGGCCGGGUACAUCAUAUUUCAUUACAGGAAUUGAAUCGAACCCGACUCGUUUCAAAAGGGCCGGUCCGGGCCUGGUCCACGGUUCCUUUUUUUUUUUUUUUUUUUUUUGUUUGGGAAAAAACAAUUAUAGUAGCACAAAUUCAAUUUCAAACAAGAUCGUAGUUCAUAAAGGCUUGGAUAGUAUAAACAUGAAACAAACAAUUUAGGAGUCUCCACAUUGACAAUUGUACAUUAAGAUUAGUACAUGUCUUAUUUAGUGCAUAACUCCUAUGGAUAUGGUUAUUUAUAUGCCAAACUUAUCAAACAGUUGCUAUAUAUGCAUAACUAAUCAUACCUUUAAGUGGAUCACAGUAAAACAUUACGCACUAACAUUAAUUUGUAUCACAUCGUAACCAUAUCCGUAUCUAUGCUUCGUAGUUCGUAGGUAUCACAAGAUAGUUCACUAUAUUAAUCAAAUAUCCAUUGUUAUAAUUCAAGAUGAUGUGCUAUUUAUUUGUGCUAUUAUUUGUCUCUAGAAUUAUAUCAUUUUGGUUAAGAAAAGAAAUCUACUGUGACUAAUUUAAGUCUUUCUGAUUGUGGCUUCUUUUACACAUUUGAAUUUGUUUUAGAAUUGUAAGAACAUUUGAGUGACAGAAAGCAUGAAAUGUUGAACCUAGCAGAAUAAGCAUACGUGAAACCCUAACAAAAACAAGAAGAAGAAAAAAACACAAAUCUGAAAACGCAGUUCUUGAUCCAUUAAAUUCAAAAUUGCCUACUCAGAUUGAAAUCCUAAUCCCAAUCGCAACUAGCUGACCAAGCUUUUCGUUUCUAGGGUUUCAUCAUCAAUAACUAAACACAUCCCAACACAAAUCCCAAAUCCCACCCUAACAUAUCCACAAUUCCUUCACCCAUAGGCUGGUAACAGUUCAAUACCAUCCUAACAGAUCCACAAUCCUAACUUAAUAGAUCCACACAGGCUGGUAGCAAUUUAAUUUUCGAAGAAGUAGACUUACCGGUAGCCGGGCAAGUAAAAGAAUCUAGGCUGGUCGCAUAGUGUCCUCGACGUUGGUGAUGGGGGGUGAUGGUGGUCGCGACGGCAGUGAUGUUGUCGAAGAGGAGAUAAUCGAGGUUGUGGGACCUGGGGGUUCUCUGGGUCUUGAGAAUUGGGAUGUCGUCGAGGUCGGAGGAUGGUUGAAUGGGUUGUGUUGGUUGCGGCGUCGAGGGAGUCGAGGGAGUUAGUCGAGGGACAGAUGGUGGAGGACAGGUGGGAGUGAGUGAGUGAGAGAGGAGAGUAUGUGAGUGAGACCGUGGUGAGUGUGAGACUAGGGUACAAACUAACGGUUCAGAUUGAAUGAUAAGUUAUCAUUCAAUCUCGACCGUUGAUUAUAAUUAGAAACGGGUUGGUCUAGGACCCCUUUUUG